Molecule: long non-coding RNA, 2402 nt
Organism: Heterocephalus glaber (naked mole-rat)
Lineage: Eukaryota; Metazoa; Chordata; Mammalia; Rodentia; Bathyergidae
Source: RefSeq, a predicted model, not a curated record
AAAACACAGCCCGCAUUAAACCAAACCCUGGAAACGAAAGCUGAAUCGCCUUGUAUUUCUAAACCUCUGGCAGACAGACACACCCAGCAGCGCAGCUCUGCUCAGCUCUGCGCGCUGUGCAAGUCCUCAGAAAGGCGGCGGCCUACCCGGAACCCCUGCCUGUCCUGUCUCCCCACUCUGUCCCGCGAUGUCUCCCUGCUCAGCUCCUCAGGAAACAAAGUGGCUGCCGGCCAUGGCGGGGCGUGUGGGAGUCUGCAGAGCUCCGGCGCUGAGAUUUAAGAAACGCCACAGGCCUCUGUUUUUCCAAAAUGAAGCCGAGUGUGGCCGUAGGAAAUUUCUCCACAUGGCACCAGUUCUGGAAUGUGUUUGAAAGAAAAGGGAGUUUCGUGAUUCCAUUGUGAUUCCAAAGAGCAUUUUCAUCUUCACUUGGCCACCAUAUUGGGAAAUAGACCACUCAUCAACUAUAUUUAAACAUUUCUGGGUUCAUUUAUUCAUUUGUAAAAUGAGAGAUUAAAAGAUAAAAAUUAAAUUCCUUUUUAUUAAAGAAUCCAAGUGUUCUCUGACUGACCACGGAGAGGUGAAGAUUUCUGCACACACCAACAGCACUGCCAGGCCUGUGGUUUCAGGCCCAGAAGGGUUCCCUCCGGCUGUGAACAUUUUCCCUCCUCUGUGGCUCACUGAGGCGCAAUGAUUACAACUCGCAGGAGUUCAGACUUUUUACCUCAUUCUAUGAGUCACGGCAAGAUAAACCUGUAUCAUGCAACAGUGGUCCAUAAAUAAGAGAUAUUGUUUAGCACAAAUGUUCCAAUUAGAGCUUAACUUUCCAUUCUCUUAUGCUAUAACUUGAGUCCUAGUAGCUUGGGACAUUUUCCUUGGGUAAGGUAUUGUAUUAAACCUUUUCUUAAAAGCAAUCUCUUAGAUCUAAUGAUAAAUUUUUACUUUCUGAGGAGAAUUGAAUUAAUUAAUUAAUAUCAAUGCUGAAGAUUAUUUGAAGAAAACAAGUGAAUAGUUAUGCAAGCUAAUUUUGGCCUCAAUAUUACUUUUUUCUGAAUACUGAACUUUUCUCAAAGUAACUGUUGGUGAUUGGUUAAUGGAAUUGAAAUGCAAGAGAAAUAGUUUGCAAUGGUUUAAUAUUCUAAAACUGAAUUAUCUUUUACUUGAUAGGACUAGGAUUUAAAUUAAGGGGAAAUUUUGUUCUCUCUUAGGAAGCUAAUUUAAAGAUCAUGAGAAAAGUGGAAAUAAAAUAAAUUAAGAUGUGUUAUGUACCUGUCUGUGUAAACUCCCCAAGAUUAAUGUAAUCAUUAUGUAUGGGAAAAAAGGACUAAUAAGUAUUUUACAAAUUAAGAACAAAAAGCAAAAGAAAAAACAAAACAAAAUAAUAAUCUUUUAAAAUAAAUAAACAGAAAAAUAUAGAUAUGUAUAUUCACAUAACUGUACACAUAUAUAUCUAGAUAUAUAUUUAUAUAUCUAAAUACACAUUUUAUACACAUAUUUAUACAGUAUAUUAGCAGAAAAAUUCUUUAUGAAUUAGUAUUUUUUCCACUGGUUUAUUUAAUUUCAUCCAGUGACUAUAUCAUAAUUUUCAUAUUCAAUCUAUAAUGGAUGGAUGUUUAGUUGGUUUGCAGUUUGGUGAUACCUUUUUGAUAUCCUACUAAAACUCCCAGUUUCUCUAAUUUUUGAAAGUACUUUUAAUGCUUCCUUUUGGAGCUUGGGAGCUUGGAAUCCGCAAUUUAUGUCAAUUAUUUUUCAUGCAUAAAGAUGAGAUUAUAGCUGUUCUUCUUCUCUAUGGAUAGUAAAUUCACCUAGAACCAUUUAUGAAAAUACUUUCAUUAAACUACCAUGAAGUCUUUCUCUUAAUCUAAGAAAUCAAAUAUUUGUGAAUUUAUUUCUGUAUCCAUUUUAUUCUAUUCCUUUCAUUCAUCUUUCACUUUGUCUACUUUUUGCACCAAUAUCAAAGUACUUUGGUUUAUUAAACCAACUAAUUAAACUUAGGUAUAAUAAGUGUUGAGAAGUGGGGUUUCUGUAUAGGCUUUUUACUUCCUCUAUAUUCCAUUUCAUACUGUAGGUCAUUUGCAUUUUCAUAUCUGAUAAAAAGUUCAUCAAUUUACAUACUCACUUGGAUUGAUUAGAAACUGCAUUGGAUCAAUAGAUCCAUUUAAGGAGAUGUUGCAAUUCAAUGCUGUUUUAAUUUCAUGAGUGUAAGUACCAUUCCUUUAUCCAUUUUGGUCUUUAAUUUUUCCAAGUGCUGUUUUGCAGUGUUAAGUGGAGGGGUUGUGAAAAUUGUAAAUUAGAUUUAUUCGUAAGUAGUUGCAUUUUUUAUGCUAUUAUACAUAUUGUUUUUAAGGAUGCCAUUUUACAGUUGUUUCCUGUUAACAUAAAUAAACUUUGUUUUUGUAAAUUGA